Molecule: long non-coding RNA, 1022 nt
Filed under: Monodelphis domestica (gray short-tailed opossum)
Lineage: Eukaryota; Metazoa; Chordata; Mammalia; Didelphimorphia; Didelphidae
Description: lncRNA (ENSMODG00000041952.1)
Source: RNAcentral
UAGAGCUGAUCCAUCCAGGGAAAUGAAUGAAAUAGGCACUUGUGUAGCCUUUGAUUACACUCUCAGAGAUAGCUGAUCUCUUUGUUAUAUUUUAUUUCUCCCCAGUUAUAUGUAAAAACAAAUUUUCACAUUCAUUUGCUAAAAGGUUGAGCCUCAAAUUCUAGCCAUCCCUCCCUCCCCCCCAAGACAGUGAACAUUUGGAUCAAGGUUUCCUGUGUGUGAUCAUGCAAAACGUUUGUCCAGAUUGGUCACAUGGUAGAAGAUAUUAAAAAAAAGAAGAAGAAAAUAUAGUAAAAGAUGGAUGGCUUUGGUGUCCAUUCAGACUCUGUGGGUUCCCUCUCUGGAGAGGGAGAGCAUCUUUCAUCCUGGAUCCUUUGGAAUGGUCCUGAAUCAUUGCAUUGCUGAGAGGAGCUAAGUCAUUGCCAGGUGAUCAGCCUACAUUAUUGCUGUUGCUGCAUGUGGUGUUCUCCCAGCUCUCCUCCCUUCAUCUUGCAUCAGUUCGUAAAAACCAGAGACAUUUUGGACAUGGAAAGAGCCUGGAGUGGCUACAAAGAUUCCAGCAGCAGCAGCAGGGGAUGGGCAGUGAAGAUUUGGAAUGCUGAGGAAAGGAAUCCAGCAGUUGGAGCCAGGGUCUCUGACUUUGAGACAGCUACUGAGGGGGUCUAGUCUUUGACUGGGUCUUGAUCCCAAGAAACCUCUUAUUUCAUUGACUCCUGAUCUCUAUCCCCCCAAAACCCUCCAACAACAGUGGACAGAGACUGAAAAGGAGAGAGUCCACAAGAAGAAUCAUCACAGUCUCCUCUUCUGGACUGAGGCACCUGCUGGGCAGGGCUAAAGCCAGUGUUCAUCACCUUGAACCCCUCAGGGGUUUGGGGCCAUUAAGCUCAAGUCACCUCAACUUUGGGAGAAGGGUUUAGACAGUUAGGGACUCCUUCCUCCUCCCCUUUGUCUCAACUUACCAGCCUUUCCUAAUUUCAUCCUACAUUCCUGUUGCCUUAGAAUAAAUUCUGUUAUCCACUACA